UGCAACUAAGAAUAAUAAUAUCAAUUAAUAUAAUUUACCUUGUUUAUCAUUAGAAUAAAAGUAAAACCCACCAGUCAGUCAAUGUACGCCAUUACGCAAUAAAAAAUUAUCUAUAAUGUUCACAAUAAAGACCGUUACAUUAACAUAAUAUGACAGAGGAAUUUAUAUAAGCCAUUUCAUUAAACCGAUCAUUCAGUCUGUCAUCUUCGGGCGUCAUGAAGUUCCUGGGACUCUUCGUGUUUCUAAUAUUCGUUGUGGCAAGUUCCAUUGAAGACGUAAUCAAGGAUGGCAAAGAACUGUCCACAAUAGUUGGAGCUGAUGAGCAAGGAAGAGGCAUAAAUUCCCAAAGGCAAAUGAGGGGCGGUAUUGUGCUAAACCUAUUAUGCAGUGAUGAUAGGAGUGUGCAAAAAUGUCCGUUCUUGAAAGCUGUAUGCGGAACAAGCGCAAGUAGGUAACGGUGGUGAUUCUGGUGAUGGUGCCGGUGCAGGCGCAGAUUUUAAAGGCUUGGGUUGAAUAUAAAAUGGCGAUGCAUACGGACCGACGGAGUUUAUAGACAAAUAAAUUAAUAAUAUAAAACUUUUUCAAAUACUGUAGAAUGUCAUAAAAUGGUAAUUUUAUUAAAUAAAAUAAUUGU
Molecule: long non-coding RNA, 634 nt
Organism: Manduca sexta (tobacco hornworm)
Lineage: Eukaryota; Metazoa; Arthropoda; Insecta; Lepidoptera; Sphingidae
Exons: 3
Source: RefSeq, a predicted model, not a curated record